GAUGAACGCUAGCUACAGGCUUAACACAUGCAAGUCGAGGGGCAGCAUGGUCUUAGCUUGCUAAGGCCGAUGGCGACCGGCGCACGGGUGAGUAACACGUAUCCAACCUGCCGUCUACUCUUGGACAGCCUUCUGAAAGGAAGAUUAAUACAAGAUGGCAUCAUGAGUCCGCAUGUUCACAUGAUUAAAGGUAUUCCGGUAGACGAUGGGGAUGCGUUCCAUUAGAUAGUAGGCGGGGUAACGGCCCACCUAGUCUUCGAUGGAUAGGGGUUCUGAGAGGAAGGUCCCCCACAUUGGAACUGAGACACGGUCCAAACUCCUACGGGAGGCAGCAGUGAGGAAUAUUGGUCAAUGGGCGAGAGCCUGAACCAGCCAAGUAGCGUGAAGGAUGACUGCCCUAUGGGUUGUAAACUUCUUUUAUAAAGGAAUAAAGUCGGGUAUGGAUACCCGUUUGCAUGUACUUUAUGAAUAAAGAUCGGCUAACUCCGUGCCAGCAGCCGCGGUAAUACGGAGGAUCCGAGCGUUAUCCGGAUUUAUUGGGUUUAAAGGGAGCGUAGAUGGAUGUUUAAGUCAGUUGUGAAAGUUUGCGGCUCAACCGUAAAAUUGCAGUUGAUACUGGAUAUCUUGAGUGCAGUUGAGGCAGGCGGAAUUCGUGGUGUAGCGGUGAAAUGCUUAGAUAUCACGAAGAACUCCGAUUGCGAAGGCAGCCUGCUAAGCUGCAACUGACAUUGAGGCUCGAAAGUGUGGGUAUCAAACAGGAUUAGAUACCCUGGUAGUCCACACGGUAAACGAUGAAUACUCGCUGUUUGCGAUAUACUGCAAGCGGCCAAGCGAAAGCGUUAAGUAUUCCACCUGGGGAGUACGCCGGCAACGGUGAAACUCAAAGGAAUUGACGGGGGCCCGCACAAGCGGAGGAACAUGUGGUUUAAUUCGAUGAUACGCGAGGAACCUUACCCGGGCUUAAAUUGCAGAUGAAUUACGGUGAAAGCCGUAAGCCGCAAGGCAUCUGUGAAGGUGCUGCAUGGUUGUCGUCAGCUCGUGCCGUGAGGUGUCGGCUUAAGUGCCAUAACGAGCGCAACCCUUGUUGUCAGUUACUAACAGGUUCCGCUGAGGACUCUGACAAGACUGCCAUCGUAAGAUGUGAGGAAGGUGGGGAUGACGUCAAAUCAGCACGGCCCUUACGUCCGGGGCUACACACGUGUUACAAUGGGGGGGUACAGAGGGCCGCUACCACGCGAGUGGAUGCCAAUCCCCAAAACCUCUCUCAGUUCGGACUGGAGUCUGCAACCCGACUCCACGAAGCUGGAUUCGCUAGUAAUCGCGCAUCAGCCACGGCGCGGUGAAUACGUUCCCGGGCCU
RNAcentral lists this ribosomal RNA (1359 nucleotides) under uncultured bacterium. Its description in RNAcentral is "bacterial SSU rRNA". It matches the Rfam family "Bacterial small subunit ribosomal RNA", at positions 28 to 1381 of the family's 1533-position model. The record is from RNAcentral.